GACGAACGCUGGCGGCGUGCUUAACACAUGCAAGUCGAACGGAAAGGCCCUGCGUUUGUGGGGUGCUCGAGUGGCGAACGGGUGAGUAACACGUGAGUAACCUGCCCUUGACUUUGGGAUAACUUCAGGAAACUGGGGCUAAUACCGGAUAGGAGCUCCUGCAGCAUGGUGGGGGUUGGAAAGUGUCGGCGGUGGGGGAUGGACUAGCGGCUUAUCAGCUUGUUGGUGGGGUAGUGGCGUACAAAGGCUUUGACGGGUAGCCGGCCUGGGAGGGUGGACGGCCACAUUGGUCCUGCGGUACGGCCCAGACUCCUACGGGCGGCAGCAGUGGGGAAUCUUGCACAAUGGGCGGACGCCUGAUGCAGCAACGCCGCGUGCGGGAUGACGGCCUUCGGGUUGUAAACCGAUUUCGCCUGUGACGAAGCGGGCGUGACGGUAAUGGGUCAAGAAGCACCGGCUAACUACGUG
Molecule: ribosomal RNA, 468 nt
Filed under: uncultured bacterium
Lineage: Bacteria
Description: partial 16S ribosomal RNA
Rfam family: Bacterial small subunit ribosomal RNA
Source: RNAcentral